Monodelphis domestica (gray short-tailed opossum) is the source of this 122-nucleotide small nuclear RNA. Lineage: Eukaryota; Metazoa; Chordata; Mammalia; Didelphimorphia; Didelphidae. The record is from RefSeq and is a predicted model, not a curated record.
AUGUUGUGUGAAAUGAGAGGUUAGCACUCUCCUUGAGAAGGAUGUAAGAGGUCCUAGUGGCCUUUAGAACACAUAUACAAUUAAAACAUUGCCACCUACUCUGGAGCAUCUAACCCAUUUGA